RNAcentral lists this ribosomal RNA (300 nucleotides) under uncultured Bacillus sp. Its description in RNAcentral is "bacterial SSU rRNA". It matches the Rfam family "Bacterial small subunit ribosomal RNA", at positions 496 to 795 of the family's 1533-position model. The record is from RNAcentral. Lineage: Bacteria; Bacillati; Bacillota; Bacilli; Caryophanales; Bacillaceae.
GCUAGCUCUGGGCCUGGAGUAGGGGUAAUACGGAGGUUCCGAGCUUUAAUCUGAAUUACUGGGCGGUAAGCGUGCGCAGGCUGUUUGUUAAGGGAGGUGUGAAAGCCCUGGGCUCAACCUAGGAAUAGCAUGUCGAACUGGCGAACUAGAGUCUUGUAGAGGGGGGUAGAAUUCCAGGUGUAGCGGUGAAAUGCGUAGAGAUCUGGAGGAAUACCGGUGGCGAAGGCGGCCCCCUGGACAAAGACUGACGCUCAUGCACGAAAGCGUGGGGAGCAAACAGGAUUAGAUACCCUGGUAGUC